Molecule: ribosomal RNA, 373 nt
Filed under: uncultured organism
Description: partial 16S ribosomal RNA
Rfam family: Bacterial small subunit ribosomal RNA
Source: RNAcentral
GUAGGUGGCAAGCGUUGUCCGGAAUUAUUGGGCGUAGAGCGCGCGCAGGUGGUUCUUUAAGUCUGAUGUGAAAGCCCCCGGCUCAACCGGGGAGGGUCAUUGGAAACUGGGGAACUUGAGUGCAGGAGAGGAAAGUGGAAUUCCACGUGUAGCGGUGAAAUGCGUAGAUAUGUGGAGGAACACCAGUGGCGAAGGCGACUUUCUGGCCUGUAACUGACACUGAGGCGCGAAAGCGUGGGGAGCAAACAGGGAUUAGAUACCCUGGUAGUCCACGCCGUAAACGAUGAGUGCUAAGUGUUGGGGGGGUUUCCGCCCCCUCAGUGCUGCAGCUAACGCAUUAAGCACUCCGCCUGGGAGUACGGUCGCAAGACUG